GGUGCGCAUCUUAUUUCUUUUACAGACCUAGUAAUAGGUAUACUUUAGGAGGGGCUUGCGCCAUAUUAGUUAGUUGGUAGGGUAAUGGCCUACCAAGACGAUGAUGUGUAGCUGGACUGAGAGGCUGAACAGCCACAUUGGGACUGAGACACGGCCCAAACUCCUACGGGAGGCAGCAGUAAGGAAUUUUCGGCAAUGGAGGAAACUCUGACCGAGCAACGCCGCGUGAACGACGAAGUACUUUGGUAUGUAAAGUUCUUUUAUCAAGGAAGAAAAGCAAGUGGCGAACCAUUUGUUUGCCGGUACUUGAUGAAUAAGCCCCGGCUAAUUAUGUGCCAGCAGCCGCGGUAAGACAUAAGGGGCAAGUGUUAUCCGGAAUUAUUGGGCGUAAAGGGUGCGUAGGCGGUCUAGUAAGUCAGUGGUGUAAUGGCAACGCUCAACGUUGUCCGGCUAUUGAAACUGCUAAACUUGAGUUAGAUAGAGGCGAGUGGAAUUCCAUGUGUAGCGGUAAAAUGCGUAAAUAUAUGGAGGAACACCAGAGGCGUAGGCGGCUCGCUGGGUCUUAACUGACGCUGAGGCACGAAAGCGUGGGGAGCAAACAGGAUUAGAUACCCUGGUAGUCCACGCCGUAAACGAUGAGUACUAAGUGUCGGGUUAAACCGGUACUGAAGUUAACACAUUAAGUACUCCGCCUGAGUAGUACGUACGCAAGUAUGAAACUUAAAGGAAUUGACGGGACUCCGCACAAGCGGUGGAUCAUGUUGUUUAAUUCGAAGAUACCCGAAAAACCUUACCAGGUCUUGACAUGUUUUUGCGAAACGGUAGUAAUAUCGUAGAGGUUAUCAGAAACACAGGUGGUGCAUGGUCGUCGUCAGCUCGUGUCGUGAGAUGUUAGGUUAAGUCCUAAAACGAGCGAAACCCUUAUCGUUAGUUGCCAGCACGUUAUGGUGGGGACUUUAACGAGACUGCCAGUGAUAAACUGGAGGAAGGUGAGGAUCACGUCAAAUCAGCAUGCCCCUUAUGACCUGGGCUACAAACGUGAUACAAUGGCUGUUACAAAGGGUAGCUGAAACGUAAGUUCUUGGCCAAUCCCCAAAAACAGUCUCAGUCCGGAUUGAAGUCUGCAACUCGACUUCAUGAAGUUGGAAUCGCUAGUAAUCGCGAAUCAGCAGUCGCGUAGCACA
RNAcentral lists this ribosomal RNA (1184 nucleotides) under Candidatus Phytoplasma citri. RNAcentral describes it as "bacterial SSU rRNA". It matches the Rfam family "Bacterial small subunit ribosomal RNA", at positions 161 to 1368 of the family's 1533-position model. Lineage: Bacteria; Bacillati; Mycoplasmatota; Mollicutes; Acholeplasmatales; Acholeplasmataceae. The record is from RNAcentral.